Molecule: non-coding RNA, 30 nt
Filed under: Rattus norvegicus (Norway rat)
Lineage: Eukaryota; Metazoa; Chordata; Mammalia; Rodentia; Muridae
Source: RNAcentral
UGCAUUGGUCAGAGGAAUUCUUAACAGAAC